UGGGGAAUAUUGCACAAUGGGGGAAACCCUGAUGCAGCAACGCCGCGUGAGUGAUGACGGCCUUCGGGUUGUAAAGCUCUAUCAGCAAGGAAGAUAAUGACGGUACUUGACUAAGAAGCCCCGGCUAACUACGUGCCAGCAGCCGCGGUAAUACGUAGGGGGCAAGCGUUAUCCGGAUUUACUGGGUGUAAAGGGAGCGUAGGUGGCAUGAUAAGUCUGAUGUGAAAGCCCGGGGCUCAACCCCGGGAUUGCAUUGGAAACUAUCAAGCUAGAGUGCAGGAGAGGUAAGUGGAAUUCCUAGUGUAGCGGUGAAAUGCGUAGAUAUUAGGAGGAACACCAGUGGCGAAGGCGGCUUACUGGACUGUAACUGACACUGAGGCUCGAAAGCGUGGGGAGCAAACAGG
Molecule: ribosomal RNA, 404 nt
Filed under: uncultured prokaryote
Also listed under: 1 other name
Description: bacterial SSU rRNA
Rfam family: Bacterial small subunit ribosomal RNA
Source: RNAcentral